ACCCUUGUUUUUUUUAUUUGUUUUUUUUUCUUUUUUUUUCAAAUAGCAUUUUCUUAUUAAAUUCAUUAUAAUUUCAUUUUUAAUCCAAAAAUUAUGGGACCACCACCAAAAUUUCACAAAUAGUUUCCUCUUCCCAUUUUUUAAUUAAAAUUAUUUUUUCUAUUAAGUUGGAUAUUUUUAGUGAAUUUUGUGAUUUUUGACUUUUU
RNAcentral lists this long non-coding RNA (206 nucleotides) under Lathyrus oleraceus (garden pea). Its description in RNAcentral is "Pisum sativum (pea) long non-coding RNA (PSAT_LNC025803)". Lineage: Eukaryota; Viridiplantae; Streptophyta; Magnoliopsida; Fabales; Fabaceae. The record is from RNAcentral.